UGCUAGUUGCACGAGUUCAGACUCGUAGCAGAUAGCUCAGUAACACGUGGCCAAACUACCCUAUGGAUCCGAAUAACCUCGGGAAACUGAGGCUAAUUCGGAAUACGAAUCCCAGGCUGGAACUGCCGGGAUUCCGAAACGUUACGGCGCCAUAGGAUGUGGCUGCGGCCGAUUAGGUAGACGGUGGGGUAACGGCCCACCGUGCCGAUAAUCGGUACGGGUUGUGAGAGCAAGAGCCCGGAGACGGUAUCUGAGACAAGAUACCGGGCCCUACGGGGCGCAGCAGGCGCGAAACCUUUACACUGCACGCGAGUGCGAUAAGGGGACUCCAAGUGCGAGGGCAUAUCGUCCUCGCUUUUCGCGACCGUAAGGUGGUCGCAGAAUAAGUGCUGGGCAAGACCGGUGCCAGCCGCCGCGGUAAUACCGGCAGCACGAGUGAUGACCGCUAUUAUUGGGCCUAAAGCGUCCGUAGCUGGCCAGCCAAGUCCAUCGGGAAAUCCGCGCGCUUAACGCGCGGGCGUCCGGUGGAAACUGGAUGGCUUGGGACCGGAAGACCAGAGGGGUACGUCCGGGGUAGGAGUGAAAUCCCGUAAUCCUGGACGGACCACCGGUGGCGAAAGCGCCUCUGGAAGACGGAUCCGACGGUGAGGGACGAAAGCUCGGGUCACGAACCGGAUUAGAUACCCGGGUAGUCCGAGCUGUAAACGAUGUCUGCUAGGUGUGACACAGGCUACGAGCCUGUGUUGUGCCGUAGGGAAGCCGUGAAGCAGACCGCCUGGGAAGUACGUCCGCAAGGAUGAAACUUAAAGGAAUUGGCGGGGGAGCACUACAACCGGAGGAGCCUGCGGUUUAAUUGGACUCAACGCCGGACAUCUCACCAGCAUCGACAACGUGCCGUGAAGGUCAGUGUGAUGAGCUUACUGGAGCCGUUGAGAGGANGUGCAUGGCCGCCGUCAGCUCGUACCGUGAGGCGUCCUGUUAGUCAGGCAACGAGCGAGACCCGCACUCCUAAUUGCNAGCACACCCUUGUGGUGGUUGGGUACAUUANGAGGACUGCCAGUGCCAA
This 1066-nucleotide ribosomal RNA is filed under the name Haloterrigena sp. Its description in RNAcentral is "bacterial SSU rRNA". It matches the Rfam family "Archaeal small subunit ribosomal RNA", at positions 52 to 1117 of the family's 1478-position model. Lineage: Archaea; Methanobacteriati; Methanobacteriota; Halobacteria; Halobacteriales; Natrialbaceae. The record is from RNAcentral.